This 135-nucleotide small nuclear RNA is filed under the name Erinaceus europaeus (western European hedgehog). RNAcentral's name for it is "7SK RNA". It matches the Rfam family "7SK RNA", at positions 197 to 331 of the family's 331-position model. Rfam says of the family: 7SK was discovered as an abundant small nuclear RNA in the mid-70s but a possible function has only recently been suggested. Two independent studies have found that 7SK RNA binds the CDK9/cyclin T complex (known as elongation factor P-TEFb). The record is from Rfam by way of RNAcentral. Lineage: Eukaryota; Metazoa; Chordata; Mammalia; Eulipotyphla; Erinaceidae.
AGUGACAGUGAUAACCUUGGAGGCAAAAAAAAAAAACUCUCAAGGUCCAGUUGUAGGAGAAUGUAGGGUAGUCAAGUUUGCAAGAUUGCAGACACAUCCAAAUGAGGCGCUGCAUGUGGUAGUCAGCCUUUCUUU